Molecule: unclassified non-coding RNA, 394 nt
Filed under: soil metagenome
Description: partial contains 5.8S ribosomal RNA, internal transcribed spacer 2, and large subunit ribosomal RNA
Rfam family: 5.8S ribosomal RNA (bases 1-122)
Source: RNAcentral
GAUGAAGAACGUAGCGAAAUGCGAUACUUGGUGUGAAUUGCAGAAUCCCGUGAACCAUCGAGUCUUUGAACGCAAGUUGCGCCCGAAGCCACUAGGCCGAGGGCACGCCUGCCUGGGCGUCACACGUCGUUGCCCCCCCCCCCAUCUACUCCUUCGGGAUUGCGGGGGGCGGAUGAUGGCCUCCCGUGCGCCUAGCCGCGCGGUUGGCAUAAAUACCAAGUCCUCGGCGACGCACGCCACGACAAUCGGUGGUUGCGAAACCUCGGUUGCCCGUCGUGUGCGUUCGUCGCGCAUNNNNGGCUCGAAAAAAUGCUCGGCUCCGGCUCGGCUUUCAACGCGACCCCAGGUCAGGCGGGGUUACCCGCUGAAUUUAAGCAUAUCAAUAAGCGGAGGA